Molecule: ribosomal RNA, 481 nt
Filed under: uncultured bacterium
Lineage: Bacteria
Description: partial 16S ribosomal RNA
Rfam family: Bacterial small subunit ribosomal RNA
Source: RNAcentral
GACGAACGUUGGCGGCGUGCUUAAUACAUGCAAGUCAACUGAAGCAGUGGUAGCAAUAUCGCUGUGGAGGUGGCGCACGGGUGAGUAACACGUAGGUAAUCUGCCUUCAGGUCUGGCAUAACUCCGGGAAACCGGGGCUAAUAGCAGAUGAUGCAGCGGCUCGACAUCGAGACAGUUGUUAAAGCUAUGGCGCCUGAAGAUGAGCCUGCGUCUGAUUAGCUAGUUGGCGGGGUAACGGCCCACCAAGGCAACGAUCAGUAGCUGGGCUGAGAGGAUGAUCAGGCACACUGGAACUGAGACACGGUCCAGACUCCUACGGGAGGCAGCAGUAAGGAAUAUUGAUCAAUGGGAGAAAUCCUGAAGCAGCAACGCCGCGUGAGGGACGAAGGGCUUUUGCUUGUAAACCUCUGUAGUGAGAGAAAAAAAUCCCAAUCUUUGGGACAUGAUGGUAUCUCAAAAGUAAGCCCCGGCUAACUACGUG